RNAcentral lists this ribosomal RNA (339 nucleotides) under uncultured Pseudomonadota bacterium. RNAcentral describes it as "bacterial SSU rRNA". It matches the Rfam family "Bacterial small subunit ribosomal RNA", at positions 29 to 351 of the family's 1533-position model. Lineage: Bacteria; Pseudomonadati; Pseudomonadota. The record is from RNAcentral.
AACUAACGCUGGCGGCGUGCCUAACACAUGCAAGUCGUACGAGAAAGUCCGCUUCGGUGGGCGAGUAAAGUGGCGCACGGGUGAGUAACGCGUGGAUAAUCUACCCCUCAGUUAGGAAUAACGUACCGAAAGGUGCGCUAAUACCGAAUGAUACUGCAUAACUACUGUUGUGUAGUCAAAGAUGGCCUCUGCUUGCAAGCUUUCGCUGAAGGAUGAGUCCGCGUACCAUUAGCUAGUUGGUAGGGUAAUGGCCUACCAAGGCAACGAUGGUUAGCUGGUCUGAGAGGAUGAUCAGCCACACUGGAACUGAGACACGGUCCAGACUCCUACGGGUGGCAG